Betta splendens (Siamese fighting fish) is the source of this 2415-nucleotide long non-coding RNA. RefSeq lists it as uncharacterized. The record is from RefSeq and is a predicted model, not a curated record. The transcript is spliced from 3 exons. Lineage: Eukaryota; Metazoa; Chordata; Actinopteri; Anabantiformes; Osphronemidae.
CAGGCUCCUCAGAGAGUGUGCAGACCAGCUCAGUGAGGUCCUCUUGGAACAGUAUAAUACAAGAGUAACUACUAAAAUGGCCAGUGAGUGUAUUCCUGUUUCUUACAAGGCUUCAGUCUGGGUGUGACUGACAAGGUAUUUUUUUGCUGGAUAAACGUCUUUAUUGCACAUUUCUGUAUAUACAGUAGCUUUUACUGUUAACCACUAUAACCACCUUUACGCUUUUUUUACAAUGUACAAGUACUAGUAUAAGUUUGAGUUUAUUCAAAGUAAAGUUUGUUGUUAAAGGUCUCUAAAGAACAAAAGAACUCCUAACAAAGACUGGUUUGGAUUUAUUUUAAUAAUAAAUAUUUAUUAUGCGCCCACCAUUUCUGUGUUAACAUUAAAAAUGCAACUAUAAACCGAUCAGAUUAGUGGACAGUCAUUCUGUAUCAUAGACUAUUUGCUAAACCACAUUAUGACAGAAGAGCUGGACAGUUUAGAGUCUGUCAUCAGGGAUCACUAAUUGAAAGUUACAGUUACAGCAUAGAAGAAACAGGUGAAACAGGGCACAGAGCAGGUGGUGGAAAUAGAUCAGUCAGGUGUAAUUGUAACAUAGUUAAAGUGUACGCUAGUUAAAUCCAGCUAAAAGGGGCAAUUCGCCACCUGCUGGUAAAAUGUUGCACAUACCUUCGGUAUUAAAUACAAGGGAUUAUGGGUAAUCUUCAGAAGCGCGAAGGAUUUCCCCAGAGGUAACGUGCCUGUGAAUGUGCCCGUGGGCAAAGUGUGUAAACUUCAUUAAAAAAAUAUAUGAAAGUUUUACCAGUACUAUGAGGCUGAUGGUAGCGGUAUGCUAAUUGUUUUCGCCAUGGUUUUGUUAACUUAUGAACCAUUUUGCUUUGUUUUAUCUUAAAAUGUUGAAGCUUUAAGCUAGCUAGCUAACUCUAAUGGUGCUGUCUCUCCAGACGGAGCGUAUACAAGCAGAUUGCCCACAGCACAUGAUUCUGUUUUGCCUUUUUCCCUUUUCCCUUGUGAAACUACAGGUAUGUCAUUUUUGCUUGAUAAUGUUUAAGAUUAUAUUUAUUAUCUGGCCCAGUUACAUGCUUUAAGUGGAGCUGUAAUUUGUUGUUAAGUGUUUCAUAUUGUAAUGAAAAUAUAAGAAGGGUAAUGAUCCAGUGUAAGCUACACUGUAGGUAUGUUAUACUUCAUAUUAAUUAUUCUUUACUGUUGUAAGGUUAGGAUAAUUUUUGUUUAUUUAUUUUUACCUUCUUCAUAAACACAUAGUCCACUAUAUGAUCUCAUUAUAGACAGUUGCGAACUAUGUAUGGGUAAUCUUGAGAAGCGCGAAGGAGUUCCCCAGAGACGGAGCGCAUACAAGCAGAUUGCCCACAGCACAUGAUCCUGUUUUGCCUUUUUCCCUUUUCCCUUGUGAAACUACAGUUGCUGAAUAAACCUGCUGUUACCAACAUCUAGAGCAGCUCCGAGUGGUCAUUAACAAAGAAAAGAAAAGAGACAGACAGAAGACAUGACACCAGAGCUGGAGAAGUUCUGUUCUGUGCUGGUGGCGGUUGGAUGAGCCAAGAACCAGCUGUCCCGAAUCACUGAGCAGAGGAAGAAGCAGCCAGAGGUGUAAGCAGCUGUACAGGACACACUGGGGCAACUACUGCUCUUGUGGCACCAAGAGAUGAUCAUUGAAAAGGUGAAGACCAAAUGCUAUGCAGCAGCUCAACAAGACCUCAACCAACCAGCCCAGAGAAGAAGCUCAUGACAAGAUCCAACAGCAGAUGCUGUUAGAGGAUCCAGUCCUCUGCCAAGAAGAAACAAGAUGGUGCAGGACGUUAUCUGUGGUCAGGAAAGAAGCAGCUGUCAUCAUGACAACAACCAAGUCAUUUUAAAGCAGACAUCUACAUGUCACCACCACCAUCCCUGCUGCUGCUGAUCAACUCCCUGCACCUCAACAGUGACCAGGCCUCUGAGCAGCGUGUCUGCAUCCACAGCACUUGCUGACAUCUGUGGGUCCUCUACAGCCUGGAACCAUCAGCCCCAUGCCCAGCAGCAGGACACAUUAAUCCUGGAGGACAGCAGGUGCUACCAACACAAGCUAAGGUGAGAAGCUGCUUUACUGCUCCCAGCAUCGUCUGGAAACACGCUGCUGGUAUAAGCACCUACUGUACACGUCUCCUCGAACACUGAGGAGAAAUGAGAUGAGGAAACAGAACUAGUGGUUGGAAAAGUCCACCCUUAACCAGCUCGCAUUCUGGCUUUUGACACAUUUGCAGACAUUAGGUUUUUACAGUUGAUCCUAAAUGAAGGAUGUUAAAAAGCAGAAAGAUCCAAGUUGUAUUCUAACACUACAUGUCACUGUAGAGUGGAGUAGGUUCUGAUUCUAGUUCUACUGGUUGUAUACUGUACAUGAAAAAUAAAAUGGUUACCCUU